Molecule: ribosomal RNA, 429 nt
Filed under: Chloroflexota bacterium
Lineage: Bacteria; Bacillati; Chloroflexota
Description: Chloroflexi bacterium partial 16S ribosomal RNA
Rfam family: Bacterial small subunit ribosomal RNA
Source: RNAcentral
UGGGGAAUAUUGCACAAUGGGCGCAAGCCUGAUGCAGCCAUGCCGCGUGUAUGAAGAAGGCCUUCGGGUUGUAAAGUACUUUCAGCGGGGAGGAAGGGAGUAAAGUUAAUACCUUUGCUCAUUGACGUUACCCGCAGAAGAAGCACCGGCUAACUCCGUGCCAGCAGCCGCGGUAAUACGGAGGGUGCAAGCGUUAAUCGGAAUUACUGGGCGUAAAGCGCACGCAGGCGGUUUGUUAAGUCAGAUGUGAAAUCCCCGGGCUCAACCUGGGAACUGCAGCUGAUACUGGAAAGCUUGAGUCUCGUAGAGGUGGGUAGAAUUCCAGGUGUAGCGGUGAAAUGCGUAGAGAUCUGGAGGAAUACCGGUGGCGAAGGCGGCCCCCUGGACGAAGACUGACGCUCAGGUGCGAAAGCGUGGGGAGCAAACAGG